UCUUCGGGGAUGAUUAAACCGGCGCACGGGUGAGUAACACGUGAGUGACCUGCCUUUUAGACUGGAACAACUUACCGAAAGGUGAGCUAAUGCCGGAUGAGUUAUAUAAGUGCAUGUUUAUAUAGGAAAAGUUGGGGAGACCUGACGCUGAAAGAUGGACUCGCGUCCCAUUAGCUAGUUGGUAGGGUAAUGGCCUACCAAGGCGACGAUGGGUAGCCGGCCUGAGAGGGUGGCCGGCCACACUGGGACUGAGACACGGCCCAGACUCCUACGGGAGGCAGCAGUGGGGAAUUUUGCGCAAUGCUCGUAAGAGUGACGCAGCGACGCCGCGUGAAUGACGAAGGCCUUCGGGUCGUAAAGUUCUUUCGACAGGGAAGAAAAUGCCUAUAAGUAACUGUGUAUGUAUUGACGGUACCUGUAUAAGCAGCCCCGGCUAACUCCGUGCCAGCAGCCGCGGUAAUACGGAGGGGGCGAGCGUUGUUCGGAGUGACUGGGCGUAAAGAGCACGUAGGCGGUGUUGUAAGUCAUUAGUCAAAGACUAGAGCUCAACUUUAGUAAGGCUAGUGAUACUAUAAUACUAGAGUAUCAGAGAGGAUUGCAGAAUUCCUGGUGUAGCGGUGAAAUGCGUAGAUAUCAGGAGGAAUACCGUUAGCGAAGGCGGCAAUCUGGCUGGAAACUGACGCUGAGGUGCGAAAGCGUGGGUAGCAAACAGGAUUAGAUACCCUGGUAGUCCACGCUGUAAACGAUGGAUGCUAGGU
RNAcentral lists this ribosomal RNA (758 nucleotides) under uncultured bacterium. RNAcentral describes it as "bacterial SSU rRNA". It matches the Rfam family "Bacterial small subunit ribosomal RNA", at positions 77 to 821 of the family's 1533-position model. The record is from RNAcentral.